GUGAACGCUGGCGGCGUGCCUAACACAUGCAAGUCGAACGAUGAUGGAGAGCUUGCUCUCCUGAUUAGUGGCGCACGGGUGAGUAUACCAUAGAUAAUGUACCUCUUAGUUUGGGAUAGCCACUGGAAACGGUGAUUAAUACCGGAUACCCCUUCUUACUCUAAGGUAAGUCGGGAAAGUUUUUUCGCUAAGAGAUCAGUCUAUGUCCUAUCAGCUAGUUGGUGAGGUAAUGGCUCACCAAGGCUAUGACGGGUAUUUGGUUUGAGAGGAUGAUCAGACACACUGGAACUGAGACACGGUCCAGACUCCUACGGGAGGCAGCAGUGAGGAAUAUUGCACAAUGGAGGAAACUCUGAUGCAGCAACGCCGCGUGGAGGAUGACGCAUUUCGGUGUGUAAACUCCUUUUAUAUGUCAAGAAAAUGACGGUAGCAUAUGAAUACGCACCGGCUAACUCCGU
RNAcentral lists this ribosomal RNA (458 nucleotides) under uncultured bacterium. Its description in RNAcentral is "bacterial SSU rRNA". It matches the Rfam family "Bacterial small subunit ribosomal RNA", at positions 29 to 506 of the family's 1533-position model. The record is from RNAcentral.